GAAUUUUUUAAAAUAUAGGGAUAUAUUGGUUAUUGCAAGUAAAAAUAUUAAAUUUAGAAAAAAAAUUAAAAGCAGCAGCCCAUUAAUCCAACAACUAUUUUGCUUCUAACUCCUUUAAUUUUGAGAAGUUUUCUAUUCUACGUAGAUUUUUGGUAAAUCAAUAAUAAGUAAUCAAUUUUAAUGUGUCCUAUCCCUGAAAAGAAGUAUUCUCUCUAAUUUAUAUAAGGUGGUAUUUCAAUGAAUGAUGCGCUUUAGAGACAAGUAAUCAAUUUUAAUCUGUCCUAUCUCUGAAAAGAAGUAUUCUCUCUAAUUUAUAUAAGGUGGUAUUUCAAUGAAUGAUGCGCUUUAGAGACAAGUAAUCAAUUUUAAUCUGUCCUAUCU
RNAcentral lists this unclassified non-coding RNA (381 nucleotides) under Hevea brasiliensis (rubber tree). The record is from RNAcentral. Lineage: Eukaryota; Viridiplantae; Streptophyta; Magnoliopsida; Malpighiales; Euphorbiaceae.